Dicentrarchus labrax (European seabass) is the source of this 317-nucleotide long non-coding RNA. RefSeq lists it as uncharacterized. The record is from RefSeq and is a predicted model, not a curated record. NCBI's taxonomy places the organism in Eukaryota, Metazoa, Chordata, Actinopteri, Moronidae. The transcript has 3 exons.
UGAUGGCCGAGGGAGGGAUACCUGAUCCACUCUCUCUGCAUGUGUGUACAAGAAAGAGAGAGCAAGGAAAAAGGAAAGAGAAGAAAGGAACACAGGGGAGGCCAAACCAAACAACGAUUAGGACACUGCUCUCAGGGCCGUAUUUAUCCUGGUUGGAGGACGCACAGAUGGAGGGGGAAAAUAACACAAAUAAGAAGAGAUUAAAGUUGAAUUCUGUGGGAUAUUUCCAGCAAUGUCUCCUGUGACCUCUGUUCAACACUGCAUCAUUAGGUAGAAACAUGGCUCCCGGCCCCCCUCUGAGCGAGAUGAAGGCUACG